Molecule: long non-coding RNA, 5412 nt
Filed under: Citrus x clementina
Lineage: Eukaryota; Viridiplantae; Streptophyta; Magnoliopsida; Sapindales; Rutaceae
Description: Citrus clementina (C. clementina) long non-coding RNA (CCLE_LNC000699)
Source: RNAcentral
GUACCAUUUGGCUGAGGUGAUUCACGCCGGGGUGUAAAUAGUAGCAUGGCCGACCUGGUGCUUUUAUUUGCUUAACAGAUUCCUUCCUCUUCAGGUUACAACCAUCCACGGACCAUAGCGAAGGUUGCCUGGGGCAUACUUCUCGGUCGUCGGAACUACAGGUGCGUUGGCGGUGGAAACUUUAUAUGAGUUCAUUGGUUCACACUCAACAUUCUAGACCUCAACAUUCACCUUUUCAGGACAUGAGGAAAUAGUGUGCCCAUUGUUGAAUUAGCUGAUGAAGCUGAACCUCAUGCUACACACGUUGGAGUGCCAGCUGGAAUCAAGCCAGCUGUAAACCUAGUAGCUAGCCUAGAAGUUAGAGUGAAAGAUGCACGUGAGGAGCUGAAGAAUUCCAGGUGGCAAAACUGUUAUGAAGAGAUUCCCAUGCAGUUAGAUGCAGCUGGAAUUAGUUGAUAGUUUAGCUAUUGUUAAUUGUGUAUUUGUUACUUUGUUAGUUAUAUUGCUUAGCUAUGAUUGGCGUGAUUAGCAAGCAUUAGAUUCAACUAUAAAUACUAAGCCAAGCUCAUUAUUGUAAAUAAGUUUUGUGAUAAUAAAACAGAUCUUAAUCUUCCUCAUUUGAUCCUCAAAAUCUAACUUGGUAUCAGAGCUAGUUGUUUCAAUGGCUAGCAAUGAUUUUCAAGAUACAAGCACUCGAGCUUCAAGCUCAAAUGCAAAUCCAAUCACAAACUCAUUCAACAAUCCAUCGAUUAACUCUUUGGUCUUCAACACUCCGAUCAAGCUCACAAACAACAAUUAUUUACUGUGGCGAUCUCAAGUAAUUGCCAGAAUCAAUGCUAACGAGCUGGAAGAUCUAAUUAACAGCACUAAGAAUCCUCCAAGUCGAAUGAUUGUCAAUGUUGAUAAUGAUCAAACUGUAAUCACCGUGGUCAAUCCACAAUUCCAGAUCUGGAGAAAAGUUGAUCAACAACUCAUGAGUUGGCUGCUGUCAACUCUAAGUGAAGAAGUGUUAAGUGAUAUUGUUGGAGCAAGCUCAUCUCUAGAGGUAUGGCAAACACUUGCUGGACAGUUUGGUGCUAGGUCUCGAUCAAGAGUUCUUCAUGUAAGAACUCAGAUCCAGACAACUAGGAAAGGAUCCUUGAAUGUUCAUGAGUAUUAUACUAAGAUGAAGAUGAAUUUAGAUGCUCUUAGAGCUGCUGGCAAUCAUAUGAGCAAUGAUGACUUUGUGUUGUGUCUACUUGCUGGUCUUGGACCUGAGUAUGACUCAAUUGUUGCAAUAAUCAAUGCUAAGCUAGAAAGUAUAACUCCAUCAAAGGUUUAUGGCAUGCUGUUGAGCCAAGAAAAUAGGAUUGAACAUCAAAACUCUGUCAGUGGUUCAGAUUAUCAAGCAAACAUUGCUUACUACAAAGGAAACCAGAGGAGGAAUUGUCAACCAAAUUUCAACAAUUCUGGAAAUUCUAUUAAUCAGAAUGGAAGGCAGUAUGGAAGUAAUUCUGGUGGUGGAAACUUUAAUCCAACUCAAGAGAAGAUGAAAAUGAAGGCUCCAGCUGAUGAAGAAAUACCUAAAUAACCAUGUCAGAUCUGCUCCAGGAAGAAUCAUACUGCUGUAACCUGCUGGUAUAGGUUUAAGAAAAACUAUGUGCCUAAUUUUGCAGGGAACAAAAGAAGUGCUUAUGUGGCUGAAGGUGCAGAAGCUAAAAGUGGAGGCUGGUAUCUUGACAGUGGAGCAACAGAUCAUGUUACCAAUGACCUCAACAACUUAAGCAUAAGUUCUGAAUACAAAAGUAAUCAUCAGCUUGCUGUAGGUAAUGGCUCUAAGCUUGAAAUUGUUUCUGUUGGUUAUACAUUGCUUGGCACACUUGAACCUGAUAUCCAGAAACACAUUAAACUAAACCACAUUCUCUAUGUACCUCAAAUAACCAAAAAUCUUAUUAGCAUAUCAAAACUUUUGAAUGAUAACAAUAUAUGCAUUGAGUUUAACAAAACAUGUUAUGUUGUUAAGGACAAGAGAAGGGGGAUUGUUCUCAUGAAAGGUGUGGCUAAAGAUGGACUGUACAAGCUGCUGGACUUGCCUUUAAAUCUUUCUCAAGUCAAGUCUAUUCUGAUGUCUUCUAUUUCAUGUUCUAGUUUGUUUUCAAUUUCUAAAACAAAUAAACCAGAGUCUAUGAUAUCAGUUGUUUCUAAAGAACUCUGUACAAGUUGUAAAGAUCAAAGAAUUAACAAAAAUCUUGAUCUUUGGCACAUGAGAUUAGGGCAUCCAAAUUCAUUUGAUCUUAGAAAAACUCUGUCAGCUUGCAAUAUUUCAUUUGGAAAUAAAAUGUCUGAGUUGUCUUUUUGCAAAGCUUGUCAGUAUGGUAAAAUGCACAGAUUAUCUUUCAAAAGUAGUGAGUCAAAAUCUUCCACUGCUCUUGAGAUCAUACACAGUGAUCUUUGGGGUCCAGCACCAACCAUCUCAAACCAGGGAUUCAAAUAUUACAUUGCUUUCAUUGAUGACAAAACAAACUACACCUGGAUCUAUGGGUUAACUAACAAGUCUCAAGCACUGUCAGCCUUUAUUACUUUUAAAAACCAAAUUGAGAAAAGUUUAGAACUGAAAAUCAAAACAGUUCAGUGUGACAUGGGCGGAGAAUACAAAGCCUUUGAACCUUAUCUCAGAAAUGAAGGGAUAAAUAUAAGAUAUUCCUGCCCUUAUACACAUCACCAAAAUAAGAAAGCUGAGAGGAAACACAGACAUCUUGUUGAAACUGGACUUACACUUCUUGCCCAAGCUGAUAUACCUCUUAAGUUUUGGUGGGAAGCAUUCUACAAUGCUACCUAUCUUAUCAACCGAAUCAGUACACCUACAUUGAAUCACAAAACACCUUUUGAGGCUCUUUAUUCCAAGAAACCAAGCUACUCAUAAAUUAAGAUCUUUGGUUGUGAGUGUUACCCUUUCUUGAGACCAUACAACAGUCAUAAGCUUGAUUUUCAUACCUCAAAAUGUGUCAACUUAGGUGUCAGUAAACAGCACAAAGGUUAUCUGUGUUUGAAUCCAAAUGGCAGAAUUUAUAUUACUGCUGAUGUAAAUUUCAAUGAAAAUUCUUUUCCUUUCAAAAAUGAUUCAAAGUUCAUGAUCACUGAGUCCACUCAUGCAUCAGAAUCUGUAAACACAUUCAGUGAGUUUCUUUCAAUAUCAUUUCCUUCUGAAACUCAAAGUCAUGAGGCACCAGCAGCAAGUACAAAUUCAUUGGAUGACACAACUAUCUCAUAUAAUCCUUCUAAUGAACAAAAUUCUGACAACAUUCUUGAUCAAACAAACUCAGUGCAUGACAGUGAAAACAACACACAUGAAUCACCUCAAAUCUCCUUUCCUUCUGAACCAAACAACCAAACUCCAGAAAUAUCUCAGCCCACAUAUCAACCUAGACCUUCACAUCCUAUGAUAACAAGAGCUAAAAAUGGCCUUUUUAAACCAAAAACUUACAACACUGAAAAAUCCAUGUCCCUUAACACACCUUCAAGUGUAGCUGAAGCUUUGAAUAACCACAAGUGGAAACAAGCAAUGCAGGAAGAGUUCAAUGCCUUAAUGAGGAAUCAGACUUGGUGUUUAAUUCCUCCAGAACAGAAUAUGAAACUGGUUGGGAACAAAUGGAUUUAUCGAGUUAAACAGAACUCAGAUGGUUCAAUCAAUAAGUAUAAAGCUCGCUUGGUAGCUAAGGGGUUUUUACAAACUGAAGGGAUUGAUUAUCAAGAAACUUUCAAUCCAGUGGUUAAAGCAGCAACAAUAAGGAUUGUACUGAGCCUUGCUGUUAUGAACAACUAGAAGCUGAGACAAGUAGACAUCAACAAUGCGUUUCUUAAUGGAGAACUCAGUGAAACUGUCUACAUGCCUCAGCUAGAAGGGUUUGAGAAUUCAGAACAUCCAAACUAUGUGUGUAAGCUAAAAAAGGCCCUCUAUGGAUUGAAGCAAGCUCCAAGAGCUUGGUUUGAAAAACUCAUAUCAGUAUUGGAGUCUUGGCAGUUUACCAGAACCAGGUCAGACACAUCCUUAUUCUUUAAGAGAAGUGGAAAUGAUAUGAUCUUAUUGUUGAUUUAUGUAGAUGAUAUAAUUAUAACUGGAAAUAACAAUGUUGAAAUAGAACAACUCAUCAGUAACCUUAGCAGUACUUUUGCUCUUAAAGAUUUGGGAAAUCUUAAUUUCUUAUUAAAGUUAUUAGAAAUGAUGAAACAAUAGUAUUAUCCCAAUCAAAGUAUAUAAAAGAUCUGCUUGCCAAGUUUGACUUGAGAGACUGCAAGGGAAUAGAUACUCCUCUGGCUACAACAGAGAAGCUGAGCAAAAACAUUGGUGAAGUCAUUACUGAUGCAACUCAAAACAGAAAAGCUAUUGGAGGGUUACAAUAUGCAGUUUUAACAAGGCCCGAAAUAGCAUAUGCUGUCAACAAGUUAAGCCAAUUCAUGGCUAAUCCUUUACAGCCUCACUGGGUUGCUUUCAAAAGAGUACUAAGAUAUCUCAAGGAAACUAUAGAUUAUGGCUUGACUUUCAGGAGAACUGAUUUUGUAGACCUUGUGAUAUAUACUGAUGCAGACUGGGGAAGUGAUAUUGCUGACAGAAGAUCAACCAGUGGCUACUGUGUAUACUUAGGUGGAAACUUAAUCAGCUGGAGUUCAAAGAAGCAAAGUAUAAUUUCAAAAUCAUCUGCAGAAUCAGAGUACAUGGCUAUGGCAUUGGCGUGUUUAGAACUGACUUGGAUUUGCUCAAUUCUUAAAGAACUGGAUGUCAGGCUUCAGAACACUCCACUACUGCUAAGUGAUAGCACAAGUGCUGCAGCUAUAGCUUCAAAUCCAGUAAUGCAUUCUAAGACAAAACAUAUAGAAAUCGAUAUUCACUUUGUGAGGGACAAAGUUGAGAGAAAAGAAGUUGAAAUUGCAUUUUUAUCUACAAAUGAUCAGGUAGCUGAUAUAUUAACUAAACCUCUUACUUAUCCCAAGUUCAGCUUCUUCAGAAGCAAACUUAAAGUCUUUCCAAAAUACUUAAGUUUGAGAAGGGGUGUUGAAUUAGCUGAUGAAGCUGAACCUCAUGCUACACACGUUGGAGUGCCAGCUGGAAUCAAGCCAGCUGUAAACCUAGUAGCUAGCCUAGAAGUUAGAGUGAAAGAUGCACGUGAGGAGCUGAAGAAUUCCAGGUGGCAAAACUGUUAUGAAGAGAUUCCCAUGCAGUUAGAUGCAGCUGGAAUUAGUUGAUAGUUUAGCUAUUGUUAAUUGUGUAUUUGUUACUUUGUUAGUUAUAUUGCUUAGCUAUGAUUGGCGUGAUUAGCAAGCAUUAGAUUCAACUACAAAUACUGAGCCAAGCUUAUUAUUGUAAAUAAGUUUUGUGAUAAUAAAACAGAUCUUAAUCUUCCUCAUUUGAUCCUCAAAAUCUAACUACCUUCCACA